RNAcentral lists this ribosomal RNA (494 nucleotides) under uncultured bacterium. Its description in RNAcentral is "bacterial SSU rRNA". It matches the Rfam family "Bacterial small subunit ribosomal RNA", at positions 29 to 512 of the family's 1533-position model. The record is from RNAcentral.
AGUGAACGCUGGCGGCAGGCCUAAUACAUGCAAGUCGAACGGCAGCACAGCAGAGCUUGCUCUGUGGGUGGCGAGUGGCGGACGGGUGAGGAAUACAUGGGAAUCUGCCCAGUCGUGGGGGAUAACGUAUGGAAACGUACGCUAAUACCGCAUGCGCCCUACGGGGGAAAGUCGGGGACCGCAAGGCCUGACGCGAUUGGAUGAGCCCAUGUUCGAUUAGCUAGUUGGCGGGGUAAAGGCCCACCAAGGCGACGAUCGAUAGCUGGUCUGAGAGGAUGAUCAGCCACACUGGAACUGAGACACGGUCCAGACUCCUACGGGAGGCAGCAGUAGGGAAUAUUGGACAAUGGGGGCGAACCCUGAUCCAGCCAUGCCGCGUGAGUGAAGAAGGCCCUCGGGUUGUAAAGCUCUUUUGUCCGGAAGAAAGCAAUCGGUUAAUACCCGGUUGUUCUGACGGUACCGGAAGAAUAAGCACCGGCUAACUACGUGCCAGC